This 1545-nucleotide long non-coding RNA is filed under the name Numida meleagris (helmeted guineafowl). RNAcentral describes it as "lncRNA (ENSNMEG00000006199.1)". The record is from RNAcentral. Lineage: Eukaryota; Metazoa; Chordata; Aves; Galliformes; Numididae.
CACCAUUUUCAAGUGUUUCCCAAAAGAUUAGCAAACCUAUCCUGAGAGAUAUCUGUGGUUUAUUUUGCUUUAUUUUGAAGAAAGAAAAUGAGAUAAAAAGAAGUGAAAUUGGGGGAAUUCAUGUCAGCGUUUUCUGGUUUUAGGCUUAGUUUAUUGGAAUCUGUUAAAUGGAUAAGUGAGCUGUUUGCAAAAGGCUGUUUGGCAAAAUGCAAUCAAGUUGUAAUGUUUCCAGGCUUUUUCCUCCAAUUUACAAUGUCAGGCUGUAAAAUAGGUAACCAGGUGGCAUUAUGCCACAUCAGUCCUCAAAUCUGGAGAGUGAGAUAGAGAGAAACAUGCUGUUUGCCUCUGAAGUGCUAGCAAUUGAUUCCAAAGGAUCCCUGAGCUUGUCGUUGAUAGGAGGAAGCUCUUACUCAGAUGUAAGGACACUGUCUUGGAGAUCAUGGUCUUGGCCUCAAAUCCAGGCAAGUAUUAGAUAUCACUGUGCAUAGAACUUUCCCCCAGGCAUUUAGGAGGGGCUGGGAACCUUCAGUAGCUCUGUGCCUGUUUACCCCCUUGAGAAGGGGUUUCUCCAUGCUUUUUGGGGGAAAAAGGCUGGUGAAAGCAAAUGCCAAAAUGUGGCAACACAUUAAAGCUAGCAAAGCUUAAUCUUGCAGUUAGUCAUUCUUGUUCUUACAGAAAAGCUCCUAACAGUUGCAACACAAGCAUUUGUGUGACCUUGUGGCAUACUAUAUUGGAAAAAUUGCUUUUUUUUUUUUUUUCCCAGGGGCUGUUUUUCAGCUGGAUCAGUUCUCUGAUCUGGUUCACCAUGUGGCUGCACAAACAUUUAUGAUGGCACAGUACAACAGAUGAUCUGGGUGAAGAUGUGGGAGUGGGAGAAAGCAGGGACUGCUUCAUUGGAAAUUUUGCAUGCUUGAAAGAAUACCAAAUUGCAGCUCAAGGAAGAAAGGAUUUGAAGCAGGAUGACACAUCGGAGAAGAGGGUUGAAGGAUAUGCCUAAUUCCCCAGAAACGAAAACUUGGCUUAAAAUGCCAAAUGGUGCAAUUACAGGAGGUGAAGAUCAGCCGGCACAGCCACUUCCAAAUAAUGCCAUCUGCAGAAAAAGGCAAUGCACUUUUCAACAUGACUGUGAAGAGGAAUUGCCAUUCUCUAGCCUUGCUCAGACAGAACACGUGCUUCAUGAGAAUGUCUGUCUCAUGAAGGUGCUUGUUCAGGAGUGGUAGUGGAAGCCCAACUCCAAUCCAUGUUGGUAUUUAUGGUCCGAAACAUCAGUCCUACCCACAAUAGGAGAUUUCACCACAAAAUAUCUAACUGGUUGCCCUAGUGUAGAUAGGUGGAUCUCGGGCACCUUCUGCUGCUUUUGCCACAGAGGUGAUAGUUGUGGUUGCAGUGUCUUCGCCAUUCAUGCCAAAGAGUUGCUUUUGCAAGAGAUACUCCUCCAGAUCUACUGUGUAAACAGAACUGAAAGGUAAACCAUUGGUAUCAUUUGUGCCAUCUAUAUUCUCAGUAUCUCCCUGAAUCCUCAUCCUAGAGGAAGCGAUGUUUAAC